AGCAUGUCUUUUUUCAUAUAAGCAUACUAUUAGAAGCAAUAGGAUGUUCCACUUCCGAAGAUGCCUCAUCACAAACACACAUUCCUAAUGGAGCCUCAAGAUAGCCUUGUGGGUCAAAAAAACGGUCAUGCACAAUCUUAACACAAUGUACAUGCUUAUUGUGACAUUCGUGUAUGCAAUAGUCCCAUUCUGACAUAUCUCCCAUGCUUUCAUAGUCGCAAAAUGACAUACAAUCUUUUACCUUGCAGUUGCUGCUCAUGGCUAAAUUGGAAUUUAGACAAAUUGCAGUAAACAAUAUUAGCCCAAGCAACAUAUUCCUUUGUGUGUACAUGUCUAAAUUUG
This 342-nucleotide long non-coding RNA is filed under the name Olea europaea subsp. europaea. The record is from RNAcentral. Lineage: Eukaryota; Viridiplantae; Streptophyta; Magnoliopsida; Lamiales; Oleaceae.